Molecule: unclassified non-coding RNA, 334 nt
Filed under: soil metagenome
Description: partial contains 5.8S ribosomal RNA, internal transcribed spacer 2, and large subunit ribosomal RNA
Rfam family: 5.8S ribosomal RNA (bases 1-120)
Source: RNAcentral
GAUGAAGAACGCAGCGAAAUGCGAUAAGUAAUGUGAAUUGCAGAAUUCAGUGAAUCAUCGAAUCUUUGAACGCACAUUGCGCCCGCCAGUAUUCUGGCGGGCAUGCCUGUUCGAGCGUCAUUUCAACCAUCAAGCCCCGGGCUUGUGUUGGGGACCUGCGGCUGCCGCAGGCCCUGAAAAGCAGUGGCGGGCUCGCUGUCACACCGAGCGUAGUAGCAUACAUCUCGCUCUGGGCGUGCUGCGGGUUCCGGCCGUUAAACCACCUUUUAACCCAAGGUUGACCUCGGAUCAGGUAGGAAGACCCGCUGAACUUAAGCAUAUCAAUAAGCGAGGA